This 3839-nucleotide small RNA is filed under the name Pongo abelii (Sumatran orangutan). RNAcentral's name for it is "retained intron". Lineage: Eukaryota; Metazoa; Chordata; Mammalia; Primates; Hominidae. The record is from RNAcentral.
GUAGCCUGGGUUCCAGAAGGCCUGAUUGGGACCGGAAGCGCGGAACUCUCAGCCCAGCAGCUCCUUGCUGGCGGCGGUCCGCGCCCCCGCCCCCAACUGCUUGGGGUUCUGCGCCUUCUGCCAGCAAACCGGCCCCUACCGAGGGCCGAAGACGCCGGGGGAAAGCGUCACGAUUUGGGCUUGUAAAAUGCCACAUGCCUUGCGGCCUGUUUCUCUUCCCAUUCCUUUUGUCCACUGCUGCUUGCUUCAGCUCUUGUACAUCUGGUCCUGUUCCCGCCAGCUGAUUUUAAUGCUCAGAUCCUCCUCCUCUUCCAGGUCUCCGUCUACCUUCCACUACAGUCAACUUCUGAGCUAGCGCAUUGCUGCCUUGCCCUGCUCUAGCGCUCCCACUUGGAUCUCGACUGACUUCGUAGUCGUCUGCUUAAUCUGUCACACUUUAGUAUUCCGAGGAUCGUAUUUAGAUGCCCUUUGAGAAAGACUUUGUUCCUGAACUCCUCCCUUCUCUUUUAGGGUUGGACUACUAUAAGACAAUUCUCUUGUGUGCAUUCUAGAGACCCUUCAAGUUACAACAUUUAAUAAUGUAUAAUUGCUAUUUGUACGUGUAUUAAGGCUGUUUUGGUGUGAUUAUUUUUUUCGAUUACUUAUCUUUUGAAGUUAUGGAGAGUUUCUUUUUCCUGAGACAGGGUCUCUCUGUCACCCAGGCUGGAGUGCAGCGAUCAUAGUUCCGGGCAGCCUCCAACUCCUCCUAGGCUCAAGCGAUCCUCUUGCCUCAGCCUCCCGAGUAGCUAGGACUACAGGCAUGCGCCACAACAUUCGGCUAAAAAAAAAAACAUUUUUUUUUAACCUUUUAGAGACAGGGUCUGGCUGUAUUGCCUCAGGCUGGUCUGGAACUCUUGGCCUCAAGCCAUCCUCUCGCCUCAGCUUCCCAAAGUGUUGGAAUGACAGGAUUGAGCCGCUUCGCUGGCCUCUGUUGCUUUUAUCAUCUCUUUACAGGGCAUUCCUCAUAGUCUCGCUACAUUAACCAUUCCAUUUUUAUGAAUAUGUGGGAUAGACAAGCUGUUGUGUGAGCUCUACAGAUGUUUAAAGAAGAACUUUUCUACCAGAUGGAGAUUGUAGGAUCUUGAAGUACUACAGAAGAGGGAGGACAUACUCUAAGAAUUACAUCUAAAUUCGAAUUUUGGGCCCAUCAUUUAGUAGUUGGAUGCCCUUCAACUAAACCUCUUUCUAAGCCUGAACUUUUGAAUAUAAAAUGGGGUUGAUGUAAUACCUACUUAAUAGAAUUGUGCGGAUUGAGCUAAUAUAUGAUUUCACAGGUUAAAUUUUGUUGCUUACAUUCCUCGAAGUAAAUUCUGUAAUCUCAGUUCUGUAGAUUAGGGUCAGAGGGGUUAAGUAAUGUGCUCUAGUUCCCUGAGCUUACUAGCUCAGUAGGUGUGUGAAAUAGUCAGAAUCCAGGAAUUCUGACUCCAAACUAUUAAUCUAUACUGCUUCAAGUCUUUCCCAUUUUCUGUGUGUGUGUUUUAACCCCUUUUUGAAGUUCAUAGCACAUCAUUGUACCCCUUUUUAUUUUUUGCUUAUGGCUUUUUUCUGCCUGAAUUUUUACUGAUUUUUUUUUUUUUUGGAGACUGAGUCUCGCUCUGUCACCAGGCUGGAGUGCAGUGGCGCGAUCUCGGCAACCUUUGCCUUCUGGUUUCAAGCAAUUCUGCCUCAGCCUCCGGAGUAGCUAGGACUACAGUCACGCGCCACCACGUCCAGCUAAUUUUUGUAUUUUUAGUGGAGAUGGGGUUUCACCAUGUUGGCCAGGAUGAUAUCCGUCUCGACCUCGCGAUCCCCCUGCCUCGGCCUCCCAAAGUGCUGAAAUUACAGGCGUGAGCCACCGCGCCCGGCCCAUUUUUACUAAUCAUAUGUCCAUUUUGUCAGGAGAUUUGUUAUCUUGAAAGUUUCUCUUGAUAGUGAUAUCUUCCAGUGUUAUUUAUUAUAUAUAUUAUUGAGUAGCCACUAUGUAGUAAAACUAUUGUGCCAGUAGCUCGCAGUUCAUGACUUUAGGCAUACAUGAUUUUUAAAUAUUUAAUACAGUGGAAAGAUGUUUUCUUUGUGCCCCUGUUCCUCUUCCUUCUUUCCCAUGGUAACCAUGGUUACCAGAUAUUUGUGUAUUCUUCUUGAGACAUUCCAUGCAUUAUCAUUUCCUUAUCUGAAGCACUCUGGUAGACUUUUUCCAAUACUUAAAUUGAAAUUCUGUCAUAAUUAUCAGAGGACAUUCUCGUUUUGCUUUUUACAUCUUAUAGUGAAAAAGAUGACUUAGGUAUAAAUCCUAGCAGGAUUUGGUGCUAUGGAGAAAUUUUUGGUAGAAUAUAAGAGUGCAGUGGAGAAGAAACUGGCAGAGUACAAAUGUAACACCAACACAGCAAUUGAACUAAAAUUAGUUCGUUUUCCUGAAGAUCUUGAAAAUGACAUUAGAACUUUCUUUCCUGAGUAUACCCAUCAACUCUUUGGGGAUGAUGAAACUGCUUUUGGUUACAAGGGUCUAAAGAUCCUGUUAUACUAUAUUGCUGGUAGCCUGUCAACAAUGUUCCGUGUUGAAUAUGCAUCUAAAGUUGAUGAGAACUUUGACUGUGUAGAGGCAGAUGAUGUUGAGGGCAAAAUUAGACAAAUCAUUCCACCUGGAUUUUGCACAAACACGAAUGAUUUCCUUUCUUUACUGGAAAAGGAAGUUGAUUUCAAGCCAUUCGGAACCUUACUUCAUACCUACUCAGUUCUCAGUCCAACAGGAGGAGAAAACUUUACCUUUCAGAUAUAUAAGGCUGACAUGACAUGUAGAGGCUUUCGAGAAUAUCAUGAAAGGCUUCAGACCUUUUUGAUGUGGUUUAUUGAAACUGCUAGCUUUAUUGACGUGGAUGAUGAAAGAUGGCACUACUUUCUAGUAUUUGAGAAGUAUAAUAAGGAUGGAGCUACGCUCUUUGCGACCGUAGGCUACAUGACAGUCUAUAAUUACUAUGUGUACCCAGACAAAACCCGGCCACGUGUAAGUCAGAUGCUGAUUUUGACUCCAUUUCAAGGUCAAGGCCAUGGUGCUCAACUUCUUGAAACAGUUCAUAGAUACUACACUGAAUUUCCUACAGUUCUUGAUAUUACAGCGGAAGAUCCAUCCAAAAGCUAUGUAAAAUUACGAGACUUUGUGCUUGUGAAGCUUUGUCAAGAUUUGCCCUGUUUUUCCCGGGAAAAAUUAAUGCAAGGAUUCAAUGAAGAUAUGGCGAUAGAGGCACAACAGAAGUUCAAAAUAAAUAAGCAACAUGCUAGAAGAGUUUAUGAAAUUCUUCGACUACUGGUAACUGACAUGAGUGAUGCCGAACAAUACAGAAGCUAUAGACUGGAUAUUAAAAGAAGACUAAUUAGCCCAUAUAAGAAAAAGCAGAGAGAUCUUGCUAAGAUGAGAAAAUGUCUCAGACCAGAAGAACUGACAAACCAGAUGAACCAAAUAGAAAUAAGCAUGCAACAUGAACAGCUGGAAGAGAGUUUUCAGGAACUAGUGGAAGAUUACCGGCGUGUUAUUGAACGACUUGCUCAAGAGUAAAGAUUAUACUGCUCUGUACAGGAAGCUUGCAAAUUUUCUGUACAAUGUGCUGUGAAAAAUCUGAUGACUUUAAUUUUAAAAUCUUGUGACAUUUUGCUUAUACUAAAAGUUAUCUAUCUUUAGUUGAAUAUUUUCUUUUGGAGAGAUUGUAUAUUUUAAAAUACUGUUUAGAGUUUAUGAGCAUAUAUUGCAUUUAAAGAAAGAUAUAGCUUCUGAAAUACUACUGCAAUUGCUUCCCUUCUUAAACAGUAUAAUAAAUGCUUAGUUGUGA